UAGGGAAUCUUCGGCAAUGGGGGCAACCCUGACCGAGCAACGCCGCGUGAGUGAAGAAGGUUUUCGGAUCGUAAAGCUCUGUUGUAAGAGAAGAACGUGUGUGAGAGUGGAAAGUUCACACAGUGACGGUAACUUACCAGAACGGGACGGCUAACUACGUGCCAGCAGCCGCGGUAAUACGUAGGUCCCGAGCGUUGUCCGGAUUUAUUGGGCGUAAAGCGAGCGCAGGCGGUUUAAUAAGUCUGAAGUUAAAGGCAGUGGCUUAACCAUUGUUCGCUUUGGAAACCGUUAAACUUGAGUGCAGAAGGGGAGAGUGGAAUUCCAUGUGUAGCGGUGAAAUGCGUAGAUAUAUGGAGGAACACCGGUGGCGAAAGCGGCUCUCUGGUCUGUAACUGACGCUGAGGCUCGAAAGCGUGGGGAGCAAACAGG
Molecule: ribosomal RNA, 429 nt
Filed under: bacterium
Lineage: Bacteria
Description: partial 16S ribosomal RNA
Rfam family: Bacterial small subunit ribosomal RNA
Source: RNAcentral